This 1353-nucleotide ribosomal RNA is filed under the name uncultured bacterium. Its description in RNAcentral is "bacterial SSU rRNA". It matches the Rfam family "Bacterial small subunit ribosomal RNA". The record is from RNAcentral.
AGAGUUUGAUCCUGGCUCAGGAUGAACGCUGGUAGUGUGUUUUAGGCAUGCAAGUCGAGCGCCCUUUUUAGGGAGCGGCAAACGGGUUAGUAACGCGUGGGUAAUGUACCCCAAAGACGAGGAAAACCCGGGGAAACCCGGGCUAAUCCUCGAUGGUCCGCAUAAUUUGUUUUAUGCGGUAAAGCUUUUGCGCUUUGGGAGCAGCCUGCGUCCUAUUAGCUAGAUGGUGCGGUAAAGGCGCACCAUGGCAAUGAUGGGUAGGUGGCCUGAGAAGGCGGUCGCCAACCAAGGCACUGAGACACGGGCCUUACUCCUACGGGAGGCAGCAGCUAAGAAUCUUGCGCAAUGGAGGAAACUCUGACGCAGCGACACUACGUGCCUGAAGAAGCUCUGCGGAGUGUAAAGGGCUUUUCUCAGGGAGCAAGCCAGUUUACUGGUUGAUAGUACCUGAGGAAUAAGGGGGGGCUAAUCGCGUGCCAGCAGCAGCGGUAAGACGUGACCCCCAAGCGUUAUCCGGAGUUAUUGGGCGUAAAGAGUUCGUAGGCGGCUUGAUAAGUCCAAAGUGAAAGACCUCGGGCUUAACCUGAGGGGCGCUUUGGAAACUGUUAAGCUAGAGAGCAUUAGGGGCUGAUGGAACGCACGGUGUAGGGGUGGAAUCCGUUGAUAUCGUGCGGAACACCAAAAGCGAAGGCAUUCAGCUGGGAUGACUCUGACGCUGAGGAACGAAAGCCAGGGUAGCGAAUGGGAUUAGAUACCCCAGUAGUCCUGGCCGUAAACUAUGGGUACUAGCUAUUGCAAGUGUCGACCCUUGCAGUGGCGAAGCUAACGCGUUAAGUACCCCGCCUGGGUAGUACAGCCGCAAGGCCGAAACUCAAAGGAAUAGACGGGGGCCUACACAAGCGGUGGAUCAUGUGGCUUAAUUCGAUAACAAGCGAGGAACCUUACCAGGGCUUGACAUCCUAGUGAUGACCAUAAGAAACUAUGGUUUCCACAAGGACACUAGGACAGGUGGUGCAUGGUUGUCGUCAGCAGGUGCCGUGAGGUGCUCCCUUAAAUGGGGAAACCUGCGAAACCCUUGCGCUAUGUUUUACGUGUCAUAGCGGACUGCCCGCGUACAGCGGGAGGAAGGUGAGGAUGACGUCAAAUCAGCAUGUCCUUUAUGUCCUGGGCCGCACACAUGAUACAAUGGCCGGUACAACGAGUUGCCAAGUCGUAAGGCGGAGCUAAUCUCUAAAAACCGGUCUCAGUCCGGAUUGAGGUCUGCAAUUCGACCUCAUGAAGAUGGAAUCGCUAGUAAUCGCGAAUCAUCACGUCGCGGUGAAUAUGUUCCUGGGCCUUGUACACACCGCCCGU